This 311-nucleotide long non-coding RNA is filed under the name Vitis vinifera (wine grape). RNAcentral's name for it is "long non-coding RNA (VVIN_LNC005102)". Lineage: Eukaryota; Viridiplantae; Streptophyta; Magnoliopsida; Vitales; Vitaceae. The record is from RNAcentral.
GAGAACGAAAACUCAAACGACCAACUAACAAGGUAGUCCCAAAAUACACCAACAAGGUAUCAAAGUGUCCUGUGAAUAUCAGUGCCCUGGGUGUCCAAAACGUGAUGGUAUAAGCCCGAAGGAGGAGGAACUGCAUGUGUGGAAUAGGCUGGAAAGGAAUCAGCAGUCAUAUCUGGACCAAGAUCAGUGUCUGUAGUCGAUACAGGAAAGCUAACCGCACCACUGUCAAUAAGAUCCUGUAUGGUAUGACGUAGAGAAGCACAAUAAUCAGUACGGUGGCCUGCCAUCUGGUGAAAUGCACAGAACUCAUG